RNAcentral lists this ribosomal RNA (428 nucleotides) under uncultured bacterium. RNAcentral describes it as "partial 16S ribosomal RNA". It matches the Rfam family "Bacterial small subunit ribosomal RNA", at positions 354 to 796 of the family's 1533-position model. The record is from RNAcentral.
GUAGGGAAUAUUGCGCAAUGGACGAAAGUCUGACGCAGCGACGCCGCGUGAGUGAUGAAGGCCUUAGGGUCGUAAAGCUCUGUUGAAUGGGAAGAAAAAAAUGACGGUACCAUUCGAGGAAGGACCGGCUAACUUCGUGCCAGCAGCCGCGGUAAUACGAGGGGUCCUAGCGUUGUUCGGAAUCAUUGGGCGUAAAGGGUGUGUAGGUGGCCAUGUAAGUCAGGUGUGAAAGCCCCGGGCUCAACCCGGGAAGUGCACUUGAUACUGCGUGGCUUGAGUACCGAAGAGGGUAGUGGAAUUCCAGGUGUAGUGGUGAAAUACGUAGAUAUCUGGAGGAACACCGGUGGCGAAGGCGGCUACCUGGUCGAGUACUGACACUGAGACACGAAAGCAUGGGGAUCAAACCGGAUUAGAAACCCUAGUAGUCC